Molecule: ribosomal RNA, 253 nt
Filed under: uncultured bacterium
Lineage: Bacteria
Description: partial 16S ribosomal RNA
Rfam family: Bacterial small subunit ribosomal RNA
Source: RNAcentral
UACGGAGGGGGCAAGCGUUAUUCGGAAUUAUUGGGCGUAAAGGGCGCGUAGGCGGCCAUGCAAGUCAGGGGUGAAAUCCCUCGGCUCAACCGAGGAACUGCCUCUGAAACUGCAUGGCUUGAGGCCGGGAGAGGGUGGUGGAAUUCCUAGUGUAGCGGUGAAAUGCGUAGAUAUUAGGAGGAACACCAGUGGCGAAGGCGACCACCUGGACCGGAUCUGACGCUGAGGCGCGAAAGUGUGGGGAGCAAACAGG